GGGUUGUGAGGUUAAGCGACUAAGCGUACACGGUGGAUGCCCUGGCAGUCAGAGGCGAUGAAGGACGUGCUAAUCUGCGAAAAGCGUCGGUAAGGUGAUAUGAACCGUUAUAACCGGCGAUGUCCGAAUGGGGAAACCCAGUGCAAUUCGUUGCACUAUCGUUAACUGAAUACAUAGGUUAACGAGGCGAACCGGGGGAACUGAAACAUCUAAGUACCCCGAGGAAAAGAAAUCAACCGAGAUUCCCCCAGUAGCGGCGAGCGAACGGGGAGCAGCCCAGAGUCUGAAUCAGCUUGUGUGUUAGUGGAACGGUCUGGAAAGUCCGACGGUACAGGGUGAUAGUCCCGUACACCAAAAUGCACAGGUUGUGAACUCGAAGAGUAGGGCGGGACACGUGGUAUCCUGUCUGAAUAUGGGGGGACCAUCCUCCAAGGCUAAAUACUCCUGACUGACCGAUAGUGAACCAGUACCGUGAGGGAAAGGCGAAAAGAACCCCGGCGAGGGGAGUGAAAAAGAACCUGAAACCGUGUACGUACAAGCAGUGGGAGCACCUUCGGGUGUGACUGCGUACCUUUUGUAUAAUGGGUCAGCGACUUAUAUUCUGUAGCAAGGUUAACCGUAUAGGGGAGCCGCAGGGAAACCGAGUCUUAACUGGGCGUUAAGUUGCAGGGUAUAGACCCGAAACCCGGUGAUCUAGCCAUGGGCAGGUUGAAGGUUGGGUAACACUAACUGGAGGACCGAACCGACUAAUGUUGAAAAAUUAGCGGAUGACUUGUGGCUGGGGGUGAAAGGCCAAUCAAACCGGGAGAUAGCUGGUUCUCCCCGAAAGCUAUUUAGGUAGCGCCUCGUGAACUCAUCUUCGGGGGUAGAGCACUGUUUCGGCUAGGGGGUCAUCCCGACUUACCAACCCGAUGCAAACUACGAAUACCGAAGAAUGUUAUCACGGGAGACACACGGCGGGUGCUAACGUCCGUCGUGAAGAGGGAAACAACCCAGACCGCCAGCUAAGGUCCCAAAGUCAUGGUUAAGUGGGAAACGAUGUGGGAAGGCACAGACAGCCAGGAUGUUGGCUUAGAAGCAGCCAUCAUUUAAAGAAAGCGUAAUAGCUCACUGGUCGAGUCGGCCUGCGCGGAAGAUGUAACGGGGCUAAACCAUGCACCGAAGCUGCGGCAGCGACACUAUGUGUUGUUGGGUAGGGGAGCGUUCUGUAAGCCUGCGAAGGUGUGCUGUGAGGCAUGCUGGAGGUAUCAGAAGUGCGAAUGCUGACAUAAGUAACGAUAAAGCGGGUGAAAAGCCCGCUCGCCGGAAGACCAAGGGUUCCUGUCCAACGUUAAUCGGGGCAGGGUGAGUCGACCCCUAAGGCGAGGCCGAAAGGCGUAGUCGAUGGGAAACAGGUUAAUAUUCCUGUACUUGGUGUUACUGCGAAGGGGGGACGGAGAAGGCUAUGUUAGCCGGGCGACGGUUGUCCCGGUUUAAGCAUGUAGGCUGAUUGUCCAGGCAAAUCCGGAUAAUCAAGGCUGAGGUGUGAUGACGAGGCACUACGGUGCUGAAGUAACAAAUGCCCUGCUUCCAGGAAAAGCCUCUAAGCAUCAGGUAACAUCAAAUCGUACCCCAAACCGACACAGGUGGUCAGGUAGAGAAUACCAAGGCGCUUGAGAGAACUCGGGUGAAGGAACUAGGCAAAAUGGUGCCGUAACUUCGGGAGAAGGCACGCUGGUGUGUAGGUGAAGUCCCUGCGGAUGGAGCUGAGACCAGUCGAAGAUACCAGCUGGCUGCAACUGUUUAUUAAAAACACAGCACUGUGCAAACACGAAAGUGGACGUAUACGGUGUGACGCCUGCCCGGUGCCGGAAGGUUAAUUGAUGGGGUUAUCCGUAAGGAGAAGCUCUUGAUCGAAGCCCCGGUAAACGGCGGCCGUAACUAUAACGGUCCUAAGGUAGCGAAAUUCCUUGUCGGGUAAGUUCCGACCUGCACGAAUGGCGUAAUGAUGGCCAGGCUGUCUCCACCCGAGACUCAGUGAAAUUGAACUCGCUGUGAAGAUGCAGUGUACCCGCGGCAAGACGGAAAGACCCCGUGAACCUUUACUAUAGCUUGACACUGAACAUUGAGCCUUGAUGUGUAGGAUAGGUGGGAGGCUUUGAAGCGUGGACGCCAGUCUGCGUGGAGCCAACCUUGAAAUACCACCCUUUAAUGUUUGAUGUUCUAACGUUGGCCCCUGACCGGGGUUGCGGACAGUGUCUGGUGGGUAGUUUGACUGGGGCGGUCUCCUCCCAAAGCGUAACGGAGGAGCACGAAGGUUAGCUAAUCCUGGUCGGACAUCAGGAGGUUAGUGCAAUGGCAUAAGCUAGCUUGACUGCGAGCGUGACGGCGCGAGCAGGUGCGAAAGCAGGUCAUAGUGAUCCGGUGGUUCUGAAUGGAAGGGCCAUCGCUCAACGGAUAAAAGGUACUCCGGGGAUAACAGGCUGAUACCGCCCAAGAGUUCAUAUCGACGGCGGUGUUUGGCACCUCGAUGUCGGCUCAUCACAUCCUGGGGCUGAAGUAGGUCCCAAGGGUAUGGCUGUUCGCCAUUUAAAGUGGUACGCGAGCUGGGUUUAGAACGUCGUGAGACAGUUCGGUCCCUAUCUGCCGUGGGCGCUGGAGAAUUGAGGGGGGCUGCUCCUAGUACGAGAGGACCGGAGUGGACGCAUCACUGGUGUUCGGGUUGUCAUGCCAAUGGCACUGCCCGGUAGCUAAAUGCGGAAGAGAUAAGUGCUGAAAGCAUCUAAGCACGAAACUUGCCCCGAGAUGAGUUCUCCCUGAGACUAUAAGUCUCCUGAAGGAACGUUAAAGACGAUGACGUUGAUAGGCCGGGUGUGUAAGCGCAGCGAUGCGUUGAGCUAACCGGUACUAAUGAACCGUGAGGCUUAACCUUACAACGCCGAAG
This 2923-nucleotide ribosomal RNA is filed under the name Klebsiella pneumoniae. Its description in RNAcentral is "bacterial LSU rRNA". It matches the Rfam family "Bacterial large subunit ribosomal RNA". Lineage: Bacteria; Pseudomonadati; Pseudomonadota; Gammaproteobacteria; Enterobacterales; Enterobacteriaceae. RNAcentral also lists the same sequence under 1 other name. The record is from RNAcentral.